Molecule: long non-coding RNA, 778 nt
Filed under: Equus caballus (horse)
Lineage: Eukaryota; Metazoa; Chordata; Mammalia; Perissodactyla; Equidae
Description: lncRNA (ENSECAG00000048432.1)
Source: RNAcentral
CCGGAAGUUGGGAACGGCCCUGAUCCUGGACCACACCACGACAUUGCAGGCACACCCCUGCGGGGUUUCUUCCACCACACCAGGGAGGCAGGAAGGAAAGCGAGGCUGAUGAAUGAGAACACGGGGCUGGACGAGGACCAGAGUCUGGACACCAGCCCCAGCCCCGGAGCAGCAGCCCCUGCUGACCCUGCUCCAGGUGGAGGCGAUGGGAAGAGAGGAAGCACCCGGGCCACAAGUCUUACGCUGGGCGCGGGAUAAAGCCGAGGUCCUCAUCCACAGGGCCGUGGCUGGUCAGGGAAAUGGACGUGUCCAUCAAAACCUAUAAAACGAUGAAGCAGGACAAAGAAGUGGUGCUGGCUCCAGGAGCUGCAGGUGGAUGUGGCCGUCUGGGAUGUCACUAACCCUGACCGCUCCAUGUGUGCCAGUGUCCACGCUCAUCCACACAUCGUGCCACUCCAGCCUCACAGCAACCAGAGAGCAGGAGUCGUUUCUGUUCCACAGAUGAGCAAGCAGAGGCCCAGGUGGGACAAGGACUUUGCCCCAAGACCACAGGGGUUGGACUCAGCUCUACCAUUCCCUGGGAGACCCCUCCGCACCCUGCCUGGGCAGACUUCCUCUGGGACUGAUUCUAAAACUGGCCCUGGGCCCUGUCCAUCCAGGGAGCUGGCAGCCUCCUCUUCCCACACAGCUUUUCCAGCCUCUUGGUUACAAUCCCGUUAUUUGCCACCACAUGUCCCUCUUCUUUUCCUUUCGAAGAUGACUCAUAAGAUGAAACGAG